This 253-nucleotide ribosomal RNA is filed under the name uncultured bacterium. Its description in RNAcentral is "partial 16S ribosomal RNA". It matches the Rfam family "Bacterial small subunit ribosomal RNA", at positions 524 to 776 of the family's 1533-position model. The record is from RNAcentral.
UACGGAGGGUGCAGGCGUUGUUCGGAAUCACUGGGCGUAAAGCGCGUGUAGGCGGCUAUCUAAGUCUGAUGUGAAAGCCCUGGGCUCAACUCAGGAAGUGCAUUGGAUACUGGAUAGCUGGAGUACCGGAGAGGAGGGUGGAAUUCCUGGUGUAGCGGUGAAAUGCGUAGAUAUCAGGAGGAAUACCGGUGGCGAAAGCGACUCUCUGGACGGCAACUGACGCUGAGGCACGAAAGCGUGGGGAGCAAACAGG